Molecule: ribosomal RNA, 968 nt
Filed under: Actinotalea fermentans
Lineage: Bacteria; Bacillati; Actinomycetota; Actinomycetes; Micrococcales; Cellulomonadaceae
Description: bacterial SSU rRNA
Rfam family: Bacterial small subunit ribosomal RNA
Source: RNAcentral
CUUGCUCUUUCUGAUCAGUGGCGAACGGGUGAGUAACACGUGAGCAACCUGCCCCUGACUCUGGGAUAACCCCGAGAAAUCGGAGCUAAUACCGGAUACGAGACGCACAGGCAUCUGUAGCGUCUGGAAAGAUUUAUCGGUCAGGGAUGGGCUCGCGGCCUAUCAGCUAGUUGGUGAGGUAGUGGCUCACCAAGGCGACGACGGGUAGCCGGCCUGAGAGGGCGACCGGCCACACUGGGACUGAGACACGGCCCAGACUCCUACGGGAGGCAGCAGUGGGGAAUAUUGCACAAUGGGCGCAAGCCUGAUGCAGCGACGCCGCGUGGGGGAUGAAGGCCUUCGGGUUGUAAACCCCUUUCAGCAGGGAAGAAGCGAAAGUGACGGUACCUGCAGAAGAAGCGCCGGCUAACUACGUGCCAGCAGCCGCGGUAAUACGUAGGGCGCAAGCGUUGUCCGGAAUUAUUGGGCGUAAAGAGCUCGUAGGUGGUUUGUCGCGUCUGCUGUGAAAACCCGAGGCUCAACCUCGGGCUUGCAGUGGGUACGGGCAGACUAGAGUGCGGUAGGGGAGACUGGAAUUCCUGGUGUAGCGGUGGAAUGCGCAGAUAUCAGGAGGAACACCGAUGGCGAAGGCAGGUCUCUGGGCCGCAACUGACACUGAGGAGCGAAAGCAUGGGGAGCGAACAGGAUUAGAUACCCUGGUAGUCCAUGCCGUAAACGUUGGGCACUAGGUGUGGGGCUCAUUCCACGAGUUCCGUGCCGCAGCUAACGCAUUAAGUGCCCCGCCUGGGGAGUACGGCCGCAAGGCUAAAACUCAAAGGAAUUGACGGGGGGCCCGCACAAGCGGCGGAGCAUGCGGAUUAAUUCGAUGCAACGCGAAGAACCUUACCAAGGCUUGACAUAUACCGAAAACUCGUGGAGACACGGGGGUCCGCAAGGGCGGUAUACAGGUGGUGCAUGGUUGUCGUCAG